RNAcentral lists this long non-coding RNA (812 nucleotides) under Nicotiana benthamiana. RNAcentral's name for it is "long non-coding RNA (NBEN_LNC004012)". The record is from RNAcentral. Lineage: Eukaryota; Viridiplantae; Streptophyta; Magnoliopsida; Solanales; Solanaceae.
CUUGACUAGUAGAUGCUAACUCUUGCUUAAUCUCAAAUAUCUUGGUAUCAUUGACAGUCCCAUACCUACUAUUAAGCUGAGUCCAAAUACUUUGAGCAGUGUCAGAAUACUGAAUACUCUCAGCUAUCUCUGGCGUAAGGGAAUUAGUGAGCCAAGAGAUAACCAUAUUAUUACACCUAUCCCACUACCUAAAUUGAGGGGAAUUUUCCGGAGGUUUAAGAACAGUUCCAUCAAUGAAACCUAUCUUAUUCCCAGCAGAUAGGGAGACAAUUAUAUUUUGUCUCCAUCCCCCAAAACCAGUCCCUGAAAGGGAUUGCUAACCAAAGAAAUUCUCGGAACAUCAGAAGACAGGAGAAACAAGGGGCUCGAGGGGUCAGGUACAAAAUUAGUAGGAGCAGAAUCAGAGUUAUCACCAACAUUAACCAUUUUUGCAACUGAGAGACGUCACCGAGCCUGAAACUUGAAGGAGCCAAACCCUAACUAUUCGUCGAUACACAAGUCCUUAAAAGUCGACUUGUUCCUAUGCCGAACCGAUGAAUCCGACGAAAUAGGAACCUCAAAAAUCAACGAUUACAGAGGAAAACGCAGCAAGAUGAGGAAACCCUAGAUUUUUUCAGAGAACAGAGAAACUCUGAUGAAAUUUGGUGAUGGUAACAUCGCGAGGAAGCUAGUGACGAGUAAAAUCAGAAUCUCCGCUCUGAUACCAUGUGAAAACAUUAAUUACCAUGGAUUGAUCGAGAUGCAUAUUGAGAGAUUGAAGAGAUGAUGUGAAAGAGAGAGAGAGAGGAAACCGACUGUCUCUUUUUAUUUCU